RNAcentral lists this long non-coding RNA (341 nucleotides) under Gossypium barbadense (sea-island cotton). Its description in RNAcentral is "long non-coding RNA (GBAR_LNC009095)". The record is from RNAcentral. Lineage: Eukaryota; Viridiplantae; Streptophyta; Magnoliopsida; Malvales; Malvaceae.
GGGUACCCAUAGUAUUCUACACUUAGUACUGCACAAGUGACCUAACUAUCUAGUACACGUAGUACCCUACACUUAGUACUACACACGUGACCUAACCAUUUGAUACACGUAAUAGCCUGCACUUAGUACUACACACGUGAUUGAAGUUGUCGGGUAUGCAUAGUAGCCUCCACUUAGUACUACACAUGCAACUUAACUAUCUGGUACGUGUAGUAGCCUGCACUUAGUACUACACACAUGACCUAAAAGCAUCUUAAACACAUAGUAGCCUGCACAUAGGACUACACAUGUGUUCUCACAAUGGAUCAUUCGUAUCAUUUCUAUUCCAAAGGUUCAACUGG